This 514-nucleotide ribosomal RNA is filed under the name uncultured bacterium. Its description in RNAcentral is "partial 16S ribosomal RNA". It matches the Rfam family "Bacterial small subunit ribosomal RNA", at positions 28 to 523 of the family's 1533-position model. The record is from RNAcentral.
GAUGAACGCUGGCGGCGUGCCUAAUACAUGCAAGUCGAGCGAACAGAUGAGAAGCUUGCUUCUCUGAUGUUAGCGGCGGACGGGUGAGUAACACGUGGGUGACCUACCUAUAAGACUGGGAUAACUCCGGGAAACCGGGGCUAAUACCGGAUAAUAUUUUGAACCGCAUGGUUCAAUAGUGAAAGACGGUUUCGGCUGUCACUUAUGGAUGGACCCGCGCCGUAUUAGCUAGUUGGUAAGGUAACGGCUUACCAAGGCGACGAUGCGUAGCCGACCUGAGAGGGUGAUCGGCCACACUGGAACUGAGACACGGUCCAGACUCCUACGGGAGGCAGCAGUAGUGAAUCUUCCGCAAUGGGCGAAAGCCUGACGGAGCAACGCCGCGUGAGUGAUGAAGGUCUUCGGAUCGUAAAACUCUGUUGUUAGGGAAGAACAAAUUUGUUAGUAACUGAACAAGUCUUGACGGUACCUAACCAGAAAGCCACGGCUAACUACGUGCCAGCCGCCGCCGUAA